RNAcentral lists this unclassified non-coding RNA (1678 nucleotides) under Hevea brasiliensis (rubber tree). Lineage: Eukaryota; Viridiplantae; Streptophyta; Magnoliopsida; Malpighiales; Euphorbiaceae. The record is from RNAcentral.
AAAUAAAUCACUCAAUAUAACAACAAUAAUAAUAACAAUGCUUCAGGCAGGGUGAAAUUCACUCUAUCAAAGAGUAAUUACACAAUGCAUUCAAUUGAGGGUUAGAGCAAACGAAAACAUGCUUGACACGUAUAGUCUACCAAAGUAGCAUAAUAAUACACGCGGUUCUAUUGCAAACAAUUCAAGAGACAAGAGCUUAUCAUUACAAACGAAAAUGGAGAAGAUAAAAAGAGCUCCACUUCAAAGCAAACACGUCGUACAAAAGUUAGCGCCUUGCAGUAAACAAUUCCCAAGGCACAAUAGGAACAGCAAAAUACAAUACACCAACCAGACCUUAGUUGUUAUGAUAGUUUUAUGCUUGCUAUGUUUAACACGUGUUCUUCACUACAUGAGACUUAAUUGGUCUGAGAAGGAUCAAGCACAUGACCAAUGAACAGCACCAUUCCAGUCAUGUCUUCUCUGAUCAAGAACAAGAAUGGAUGGUCAGCUACAAAGUUCAGUUUAUCAGAGAGCAUCAGACAUUUCAAUCUUACAACACCAGCAGAACUUGCUGCAGCUUCUGUGCCUUCUUCAUUUACUUCGAUGAAGGAUUUAUGGAAUAUGCUUGAAACAUACAGGUUCUGACCAACGGAGGAAUCCACCAUUUCUGUCAAAUCUCCUUCACCGGAGAAUGGCAACACCAGUCCUAAUCCCUUAAGGGUUUUGGAAACUUCAAAUCCAAAGGAAAUCUUAAACCUAGGAAUCCUGAAGUCAUCCACUUCCACUUGUUGCUGUGGAAGGUGAUAUUCUAAAAACCCAGACUCAGAACCCACUUUCUCCACCAAAGCAGGCAGCCCAUCUUUUGCAUCUGGAAGGAAGAAGUACAUGAAGGAUCGGCGUUCGUCUUCACCUUGUUCGUAAGGAAACCUUAGGACUUUAAAACCAUCAAAGGCACGGAUAAAUUGAUUCUUAUUGCCAGUCAUAAAGGGCACAUGAACCGAGCUACCAUUCAAAAGGUAAAAAUCAUAGUCUUUUGUAGUUGAUGCAUUAAAUUUUUCAUUCCAAGCUCCUUUGAAGUAAAGUGCAUUUGCAAAUAUAAGCCUGGUCGUACUGUCAACCGACCCAGAAGGAAGAACCUCUUUGAUAAGGCCACUAGUCUCCCUCUCCGCCCAUGCAUUUACCUCAUUAGUCACUUCAACAGCCUUGGUUUGGAAAUCAACUUGAUUAGAAGCAGCCAGAUAGACAUUUUCCACAACCUGUUUGAAAGAGGGCUUAAGUAAGAGAGACCUGUCCACCCAAACGCCGUUGGCGAAUGACAAGCGUGGACCACCGCUGGCACUUCCGUCCACAAAAACCACAGAAACGAGUUCGGAGAAGAAAGAGCUGAGGUGGUCAUUGGACUUGGAGUUGAGGAAAGAAAGCAAUUGAUGGAGGGUAGGACCCUUAGAUCCAGCAGCAAUGAGGCCAAGCACCACCUGGAUAGACAGCGGCGACAACACUGAAUUAGAGGUUUUGGCUUCGGUUAAGAGCACAUGCUUGGAAAGGCCCAAAGUGACGGCGUUUUGAUUCCCGAUCGAUUCACGGAGGUCCAUGUUUGUGGUAUUGCGGAGGGGAAGCAGUGAAGGGUGUUAACUAUGUGCCUAGAAAUGCAACGGCUGCUUUUAAUAUUUGACUAAAGUGGAAGAACCGACAAUAGAUU